GCGGCCAUGGUUAAGUGGUAUAAUGAGUCCUUGCCAAGGAUUAGUCGGGGUUUCGAUUACCCCUGGCCGCACAA
RNAcentral lists this transfer RNA (74 nucleotides) under Parcubacteria group bacterium CG2_30_44_11. Its description in RNAcentral is "tRNA-Gly". It matches the Rfam family "tRNA". From Rfam's summary of the family: Transfer RNA (tRNA) molecules are approximately 80 nucleotides in length. The record is from RNAcentral.